ACUCCUACGGGAGGCAGCAGUGGGGAAUCUUGCACAAUGGGCGAAAGCCUGAUGCAGCGACGCCGCGUGGGGGAUGAAGGCCCUAGGGUCGUAAACCCCUUUCAGUUAGGGACGGAAAAUGACAGGUACCUACAGAAGAAGCCCCGGCCAACUACGUGCCAGCAGCCGCGGUAAGACGUAGGGGCGAGCGUUGUCCGGAUUUAUUGGGCGUAAAGGGCUCGUAGGUGGUUGCGUAAGUCGGAUGUGAAAACUCCAGGCUCAACUUGGAGACGCCAUCCGAUACUGCGCUGACUUGAGUCCGGUAGAGGAGUGUGGAAUUUCUAGUGUAGCGGUGAAAUGCGCAGAUAUUAGAAGGAACACCUAUUGCGAAGGCAGCACUCUGGGCCGGCACUGACACUGAGGAGCGAAAGCGUGGGUAGCAAACAGGAUUAGAUACCCUGGUAGGCUCUGCU
This 452-nucleotide ribosomal RNA is filed under the name uncultured bacterium. RNAcentral describes it as "bacterial SSU rRNA". It matches the Rfam family "Bacterial small subunit ribosomal RNA", at positions 335 to 801 of the family's 1533-position model. The record is from RNAcentral.